This 370-nucleotide ribosomal RNA is filed under the name uncultured organism. Its description in RNAcentral is "bacterial SSU rRNA". It matches the Rfam family "Bacterial small subunit ribosomal RNA", at positions 526 to 896 of the family's 1533-position model. The record is from RNAcentral.
CGUAGGGUGCAAGCGUUAAUCGGAAUUACUGGGCGUAAAGCGUGCGCAGGCGGUGAUGUAAGACAGGUGUGAAAUCCCCGGGCUUAACCUGGGAACUGCAUUUGUGACUGCAUCGCUGGAGUGCGGCAGAGGGGGAUGGAAUUCCGCGUGUAGCAGUGAAACGCGUAGAUAUGCGGAGGAACACCGAUGGCGAAGGCAAUCCCCUGGGCCUGCACUGACGCUCAUGCACGAAAGCGUGGGGAGCAAACAGGAUUAGGUACCCUGGUAGUCCACGCCCUAAACGAUGUCAACUGGUUGUUGGGUCUUCACUGACUCAGUAACGAAGCUAACGCGUGAAGUUGACCGCCUGGGGAGUACGGCCGCAAGGUUG